This 465-nucleotide ribosomal RNA is filed under the name uncultured bacterium. RNAcentral's name for it is "partial 16S ribosomal RNA". It matches the Rfam family "Bacterial small subunit ribosomal RNA", at positions 339 to 795 of the family's 1533-position model. The record is from RNAcentral.
CUACGGGCCGCUCCAGUGGGGAAUAUUGGACAAUGGGGGAAACCCUGAUCCAGCAAUGCCGCGUGUGUGAAGAAGGCCUGCGGGUUGUAAAGCACUUUCGGUUGGGAGGACUGCUUCUAGCACUAAUAUUGUUGGAAGUUGACGUUACCUUCAGAAGAAGCACCGGCUAACUCCGUGCCAGCAGCCGCGGUAAUACGGGGGGUGCAAGCGUUAAUCGGAAUUACUGGGCGUAAAGCGCGCGUAGGCGGCUAGAUCAGUCGGGUGUGAAAGCCCCGGGCUUAAACUGGGAACUGCAUCCGAUACUGUCUAGCUUGAGUACAGGAGAGGAGAGUGGAAUUCCACAUGUAGCGGUGAAAUGCGUAGAUAUGUGGAGGAACACCAAUGGCGAAGGCAGCUCUCUGGCCUGAUACUGACGCUGAGGUGCGAAAGCGUGGGGAGCAAACAGGAUUAGAUACCCUAGUAGUC